UGGGGAAUAUUGGACAAUGGGGGCAACCCUGAUCCAGCCAUGCCGCGUGCGUGAAGAAGGCCUUAGGGUUGUAAAGCGCUUUCAGCGGGGACGAUGAUGACGGUACCCGCAGAAGAAGCCCCGGCUAACUCCGUGCCAGCAGCCGCGGUAAUACGGAGGGGGCAAGCGUUGUUCGGAAUUACUGGGCGUAAAGGGCGCGUAGGCGGCAUAUCAAGUCAGAGGUGAAAGCCCCGGGCUCAACCUGGGAAUUGCCUUUGAAACUGGUAGUCUUGAGUUCGAGAGAGGUGAGUGGAACUCCGAGUGUAGAGGUGAAAUUCGUAGAUAUUCGGAAGAACACCAGUGGCGAAGGCGGCUCACUGGCUCGAUACUGACGCUGAGGUGCGAAAGCGUGGGGAGCAAACAGGAUUAGAUACCCCCGUAGUCC
This 424-nucleotide ribosomal RNA is filed under the name uncultured prokaryote. RNAcentral describes it as "bacterial SSU rRNA". It matches the Rfam family "Bacterial small subunit ribosomal RNA", at positions 355 to 796 of the family's 1533-position model. The record is from RNAcentral.